Molecule: ribosomal RNA, 730 nt
Filed under: uncultured archaeon
Lineage: Archaea
Description: bacterial SSU rRNA
Rfam family: Archaeal small subunit ribosomal RNA
Source: RNAcentral
GGAUAAUACCGGAUAACGCAUAUAUGCUGGAAUGCUUUAUGCGUAAAAUGGAUUCGUCUGCCCAAGGAUGGGUCUGCGGCCUAUCAGGUAGUAGUGGGUGUAAUGUACCUACUAGCCUACAACGGGUACGGGUUGUGAGAGCAAGAGCCCGGAGAUGGAUUCUGAGACAUGAAUCCAGGCCCUACGGGGCGCAGCAGGCGCGAAAACUUUACAAUGCGGGAAACCGUGAUAAGGGGACACCGAGUGCCAGCAUCAUAUGCUGGCUGUCCAGAUGUGUAAAAUACAUCUGUUAGCAAGGGCCGGGCAAGACCGGUGCCAGCCGCCGCGGUAACACCGGCGGCCCGAGUGGUGAUCGUGAUUAUUGGGUCUAAAGGGUCCGUAGCCGGUUUGGUCAGUCCUCCGGGAAAUCUGAUGGCUCAACCAUUAGGCUUUCGGGGGAUACUGCCAGGCUUGGAACCGGGAGAGGUAAGAGGUACUACAGGGGUAGGAGUGAAAUCUUGUAAUCCCUGUGAGACCACCUGUGGCGAAGGCGUCUUACCAGAACGGGUUCGACGGUGAGGGACGAAAGCUGGGGGCACGAACCGGAUUAGAUACCCGGGUAGUCCCAGCCGUAAACUAUGCUCGCUAGGUGUCAGGCAUGGCGCGACCGUGUCUGGUGCCGCAGGGAAGCCGUGAAGCGAGCCACCUGGGAAGUACGGCCGCAAGGCUGAAACUUAAAGGAAUUGGCGGG